RNAcentral lists this ribosomal RNA (253 nucleotides) under uncultured bacterium. RNAcentral describes it as "partial 16S ribosomal RNA". It matches the Rfam family "Bacterial small subunit ribosomal RNA", at positions 524 to 776 of the family's 1533-position model. The record is from RNAcentral.
UACGUAGGGCGCAAGCGUUGUCCGGAAUUAUUGGGCGUAAAGAGCUCGUAGGCGGCUUGUCACGUCGGGUGUGAAAGCCCGGGGCUUAACCCCGGGUCUGCAUUCGAUACGGGCAGGCUAGAGUGUGGUAGGGGAGAUCGGAAUUCCUGGUGUAGCGGUGAAAUGCGCAGAUAUCAGGAGGAACACCGGUGGCGAAGGCGGAUCUCUGGGCCAUUACUGACGCUGAGGAGCGAAGGCGUGGGGAGCGAACAGG